This 66-nucleotide transfer RNA is filed under the name Thelenota ananas. RNAcentral's name for it is "tRNA-Pro". It matches the Rfam family "tRNA". From Rfam's summary of the family: Transfer RNA (tRNA) molecules are approximately 80 nucleotides in length. Their secondary structure includes four short double-helical elements and three loops (D, anti-codon, and T loops). The record is from RNAcentral. Lineage: Eukaryota; Metazoa; Echinodermata; Holothuroidea; Aspidochirotida; Stichopodidae.
CAAGGGCUAGUUUAUAAAAACGGCUGCUUUGGGAGCAACAGAUAUAGGUAAAACCUAUGCCCUUGA